RNAcentral lists this ribosomal RNA (253 nucleotides) under uncultured bacterium. Its description in RNAcentral is "partial 16S ribosomal RNA". It matches the Rfam family "Bacterial small subunit ribosomal RNA", at positions 524 to 776 of the family's 1533-position model. The record is from RNAcentral.
UACGUAGGGGGCAAGCGUUGUCCGGAUUUACUGGGCGUAAAGCGCACGUAGGCGGACUAUUAAGUCAGGGGUGAAAUCCCGGGGCUCAACCCCGGAACUGCCUUUGAUACUGGUAGUCUUGAGUUCGAGAGAGGUGAGUGGAAUUCCGAGUGUAGAGGUGAAAUUCGUAGAUAUUCGGAGGAACACCAGUGGCGAAGGCGGCUCACUGGCUCGAUACUGACGCUGAGGAGCGAAAGCGUGGGGAGCGAACAGG